UCUUGGUCAUUUAGAGGAAGUAAAAGUCGUAACAAGGUUUCCGUAGGUGAACCUGCGGAAGGAUCAUUAAAUAAUUUAGAUGGCCUUUGCUAGUUUUCUAGCGAAUGGUUCAUUCUUUUUUACUGUGAACUGUUUUAAUUUUUCAGCGUCUGAGGAAUGUCUUUUAGCCAUAGGGAUAGGCUACUAGAAUGUUAACCGAGCUGAAAGUCAGGCUUAGGCCUGGUAUCCUAUUAAUUAUUUACCAAAAGAAUUCAGUAUUAUAAUUGUAACAUAAGCGUAAAAAACUUAUAAAACAACUUUUAACAACGGAUCUCUUGGUUCUCGCAUCGAUGAAGAACGUAGCAAAGUGCGAUAACUAGUGUGAAUUGCAUAUUCAGUGAAUCAUCGAGUCUUUGAACGCAACUUGCGCUCAAUGGUAUUCCAUUGAGCACGCCUGUUUCAGUAUCAAAAACACCCCACAUUCAUAAUUUUGUUGUGAAUGGAAAUGAGAGUUUCGGCUUUAUUGCUGAAUUCUUUAAAAUUAUUAGGCCUGAACUAUUGUUCUUUCUGCCUGAACAUUUUUUUAAUAUAAAGGAAUGCUCUAGUAAAAAGACUAUCUCUGGGGCCUCCCAAAUAAAUCAUUCUUAAAUUUGAUCUGAAAUCAGGCGGGAUUACCCGCUGAACUUAAGCAUAUCAAUAAGCGGAGGA
RNAcentral lists this ribosomal RNA (687 nucleotides) under Mucor sp. TMS-2011. RNAcentral's name for it is "eukaryotic LSU rRNA". The stretch from base 295 to 447 matches the Rfam family "5.8S ribosomal RNA". The record is from RNAcentral. Lineage: Eukaryota; Fungi; Mucoromycota; Mucoromycetes; Mucorales; Mucoraceae. RNAcentral also lists the same sequence under 1 other name.